RNAcentral lists this ribosomal RNA (497 nucleotides) under uncultured bacterium. RNAcentral's name for it is "partial 16S ribosomal RNA". It matches the Rfam family "Bacterial small subunit ribosomal RNA", at positions 28 to 507 of the family's 1533-position model. The record is from RNAcentral.
GACGAACGCUGGCGGCGUGCCUAAUACAUGCAAGUUGAGCGAUGAAGAUUGGUGCUUGCACCAAUUUGAAGAGCAGCGAACGGGUGAGUAACGCGUGGGGAAUCUGCCUUUGAGCGGGGGACAACAUUUGGAAACGAAUGCUAAUACCGCAUAAUAACUUUAAACAUAAGUUUUAAGUUUGAAAGAUGCAAUUGCAUCACUCAAAGAUGAACCCGCGUUGUAUUAGCUAGUUGGUGAGGUAAAGGCUCACCAAGGCGAUGAUACAUAGCCGACCUGAGAGGGUGAUCGGCCACAUUGGGACUGAGACACGGCCCAAACUCCUACGGGAGGCAGCAGUAGGGAAUCUUCGGCAAUGGACGAAAGUCUGACCGAGCAACGCCGCAUGAGUGAAGAAGGUUUUCGGAUCGUAAAACUCUGUUGGUAGAGAAGAACGUUGGUGAGAGUGGAAAGCUCAUCAAGUGACGGUAACUACCCAGAAAGGGACGGCUAACUACGUG